UACGGAGGGUGCAAGCGUUAUCCGGAUUCACUGGGUUUAAAGGGUGCGUAGGUGGGCAGGUAAGUCAGUGGUGAAAUCUCCGGGCUUAACCCGGAAACUGCCAUUGAUACUAUCUGUCUUGAAUACCGUGGAGGUGAGCGGAAUAUGUCAUGUAGCGGUGAAAUGCUUAGAUAUGACAUAGAACACCAAUUGCGAAGGCAGCUCACUACGCGAAUAUUGACACUGAGGC
This 229-nucleotide ribosomal RNA is filed under the name uncultured bacterium. Its description in RNAcentral is "partial 16S ribosomal RNA". It matches the Rfam family "Bacterial small subunit ribosomal RNA", at positions 524 to 752 of the family's 1533-position model. The record is from RNAcentral.